AGAACAAGGAAACAAACUGAAACAUAGGAAGUUCCAUCUGAAUGUGAGAAAUAACUUCUUUACUAUGAGGGUGACAGAGCACUGGAACAGGCUACUGAGAGAGGUUGUGGUGUCUCCUUCUCUGAUGAUACUGUAAACCCAUCAGGAUGCUUUCCUUUGCAACGUACUCCAGGGAACGUGCUUUAGCAAGGGGUGGAGUAAGUUGAUGUCCAGCGGUCCCUUCCAACCCCAGUGAUUCUGUGAUUCUAUUUAAUUGUGUGAAAUCUUACCACGUGUGGUUGCAGAAAGUGGCGUUAGCUUCUGUGUCUGCUGGUGUUGUGAUGUUGAUGCCUUUUCAUGGAGGAAAAUAAAUGAUUGUGCUCUUAAAUUGGUGUAGUUUUGCACUUGUUUUCUCUGCUGGAAAAAAUGAUUUGACUUACGCAGUCCUCUCUUGAUGUUCUUUCACCAUUGUUAUCAGCAUCAGCCACAGACUUAGAAAAUCUCUGGAACUCUGUCAUCCGAGAAAACGUCACAAAUAAUUCUGUACAGUUACUAUUAUCAAUUACAGUGCUCUUCUUGAUGUUGCCUGGGCUAUUCCCUCACAGAAUGAAAUCAGUGACUAUUGCUUUUAGAGGUGUCAUGACGUUGCUGUUAGAAAUAGCGUUGCUUACAGGCCUGUAACAUUUUCAUCUGAUAUGACAGAAGCACUGCAAAACAGGAAUGGCCAGCUGCACAGUUUCUGCUGCAUUCUGCAUGUAUACAAUAGUCUCUCUUUGUUUCUGUUAAUGGCGCUAUCAUUGAUAGGAAAGUUGUCCAAAAUACAGUCAGCCUCUGUGUGAGAAUUGCAAAUGUGGCACCUGUGAGAAGUGAACAUAGCAAUGACAGGGAGUAAGGUCUGUUUUUUGCUGAUGUGAUGGGUGGUCCUAAACAAUGGAAAAACUUGUGCAAGGGGAAGGACAUCAUUUGGAAGAGGAUGGGGCAUGUCAUAAGAAUGAGAGAGAUCUGCUUGUCUUGAGAACAAGUGCCUAAGAAUGUGGAAUUAACAAUGUCCAUUUCAAAGCCAGAGGUGGAAUGGGCCCAGAGCAUUCUGGGCCAGGAUCCUUGCCUGGGUUCCCAGAGAUGGGAUCUGGUGGUUUUCCUGCUCUUGAGGUUGUAUGUAGUACCAGUCUUUCUGAGCAUGCGAGGCUGUGUGUUAUUCAUGGUGCCACAUGAUUAAUUUGGUUUAUUUGCUUGGAGACUUUCUGUGUUUUCUUCCCUGGAGGAAUCACUGAAGCAUGUAGAGGAAGACCUGGUAUGCUCAGAGAAGUGAAAUAAUUGCAUAUUUAUAUAUGAGACAUGGGGAGGCCUUCAGACAAACAGUUGUUGACACUACAGCCAUUUCACAAGGUGUGAUGAGUUUUCUCAGGUGCAUGUGUAGUCAAAUUCUGUGUGCUCUCACUCCCUAUUGUCCUUGUGCCAUUCCUGGUUGGGAAGACAUCUGUCACGUUUGUGUUUAUUCACUCGUGUUCGAAUGUGGAAUGUUGUUGCUCUAACAGUGGCUUUUCACAAUAUUAGUAGUUCUGCCUGGCUGUAGUGGGCCUUCCCCUGAUCUUCCCUCUUCUCGUAUUGUUGCUUGGGAGGGGAAGAAGUGUGCUCUCUACUCCAGAUGUUGGCAAACCUUGUGUUUCAAUGAUGUGCAAUUGGAUCUUUUUGUUUCUUUCUCCCUGUCAGAUAAGUGUCCUACUUCAUUGUUUUACUUCUCUCACACUGGAAGUAUGUUGGUGAUGGUGAAUGGGAUGUAGUGGACUGAGUUCAGGUGGCUGUGACAUUGCAGACCUUUGAGCAAUUGGCCAUGAGUGUGCGAUAUAGCUUUUCCACACUUGUGAGCUCUGGUACUCAUAGAGAGAAAGUCAUUAGCUUUCAGGUUUCCCUCUUGCUUCCCUUCUGGUAUAUGUGUGCCAGGGAGCACUGCAUGCUAUCCAAUAUAAUGUUCUUUUUGUGAACAAGCAUCUGCUCCUGUUAUGGGUAAGUUGUUCUUAUUAAAGGAAUAUGUGAUCAAUAGACAGCUGUAUGUUUCAGUGUUUUGUUGUGAUUCCUUUCUGUUGGAGGGAGCGAACAUUGCCUGAGGGCUGGAGCCUUCUGCUGAUGAAGUGCAUUUGUAUGGGGAGAGCAGUUUCUGCCACAGGCAGAAACAGUUCCUUCCUGGGUUGUGUGUCAGCCUAGAGUUGGAAAUAGAGGUGAUUUUUUCAGGAGACAAUAUUUGGUGGGUAUAAUCAUCGUGUACUUGACUUCUCCCCCAUUUGUGCACAUGCCGAAUUGGCUUUGGUCUGAUGGUGUGCCAUCUUGUGUCAGGGCUCAUUCUAAAAUAUAGAUGUAUACACAAAAUCCUGAACAGCAGCCCAGGUCACUUUCUCUGAAGAAAAAAAGUUCUUUACAGCCACAGGUAUGUGUUUGUAUUUUUUUAUUUUUUAUUUUUUGGAGGACUCAUCAGUGUUGGAGGAAGUAAACUAAGGCAUUUGGCAAUAGAUGCUCCAACAACUUGGGUGCUUUUCACAGAAUUUUCUCAGCUUCUCUGUGUGAACCUGAUAGUUUCUCAGUAUAGAUAUAGAUAGUGUAUAAGACAAGUUGUUUGUGCAUUUGUGAUGAGUGUGCACUGCUACGAUUUGUGAGGAUUUGCUUUACACUCGAUAGAAGAAUAAAAUCCCACAUUGGCUUGAUUUGAGUUAGAACAGAACAACUCUCCCACGAUGUAGGUUAUCUUGGAUCAUACAAAUGUUUAUUAUGCAAUCUUAAUUUUGACCUCAGCCCAACUCUAAGUUACCCGAAAAUAAAACACUGCUCAUUUUGCUGCCUGUAGCGUGUGUAUUCUCAUCCCUCUGAGUAUGGCAUGAAUGAGGAGGUGAUCUGCUUAUACCAUGUAAAUGGGUGAUCUUAGCAAGUGGGUAAGCAGAAGAAAAAUACAUUUACCCUCUUUAAACACCUUUCAUUCUGGAUUCACGUGGAGUGAGUUUGGUGGGGUUUUUUUUAUAUAAAGUCUGUCCCAGAAUUUCUUUCUAUGCAGCGGUCAAGACAUUGGUCUCUAUCCAGGCCAUUACAUCCUUUUUCUACAUGAAGCUGCAAAAAAAAAAAAAAAAAAAAAAAAAGUCUUGCAGAACAUUACUCGUACCAAUCCUCUAUUUGCUCACAAUCUGCCUGCACCUGGAAAAGUGAACAAAAUGCUUUUACACAGGGCAGGACUCAUUACUGUCUCUAUCUGGGGUAAUACUAAUGUGAGCUCACAGGAGAUACAUAGAUGCAAAAAACGGAAAUGCAGAACAAAGCCAUUCCAUUAUAUUCUGAACGUGUUAGGAACGUGUUAAUGGAAGUCUCCAUCCCUGGAUGAUGCACUGUCUGACGGAGGUUGCUGCUUACCUUUUUCAUGAGCUUGUCUGCUUAGGAGCAUCACAGAAGGGAAGGACCACACUUCAUCUUCAGAGGCUGAACAUCCACUCUGCCCUGCAUGAAAGAAUCUGGGAUAGUAAACGUGCUUUGUCUAAAUGCUUCCUCGGAGCAAUGAGCCUGCCACUGGUCGGGGUAAAGAAAUACAGAUAAGGUACAAAGAUGCAGGAUUAAGGAGAGUUUGUCCUUGUGAUUUGAAUUUGCACAGUGUGAACUCAUCAGAAAUUAAACACAAAUAAACUGUGAGGAAAAGCCACUGGUCAUGUGUGUAAGAAGGGGAACUGUUUUCCACUUUUAUCCCUGUACUCAGUCCUUAUAAGACUUAGAUGACCAGCCAGUGAACCUCAGCUUCCCAGGCUAAAAAUCAAGGCUAAAAAUGAAAUUCAUAUUAGAUACCUUUUGCUCUAAGAAAUAUAUAGAAGGCCACAAGAAUGGAGCAUGUUUUCAGAAACAUUUCAGGUAAACCACAUGGCUUCUAACAGAGGAACACUGAUAACAUACAUCGUGGAAGAUGUACCACUAAGCAAAAUUCAAUGGACUUCCUACAUGCCCAUUUCACUUGGAAAGGAGGGAUGAAAGAUAACUCGAAGUCUCAUUGGAGCUAAAGCGAUGUGCACUUCUGCGGAACAGGUAGAGUACUGUAGAUAAAGAUUCG
Long non-coding RNA from Gallus gallus (chicken), 4051 nucleotides. Lineage: Eukaryota; Metazoa; Chordata; Aves; Galliformes; Phasianidae. The record is from Ensembl.